This 478-nucleotide ribosomal RNA is filed under the name uncultured bacterium. RNAcentral's name for it is "partial 16S ribosomal RNA". It matches the Rfam family "Bacterial small subunit ribosomal RNA", at positions 28 to 523 of the family's 1533-position model. The record is from RNAcentral.
GACGAACGCUGGCGGCGUGCUUAACACAUGCAAGUCGAACGGUAAGGCCCUUCGGGGUACACGAGUGGCGAACGGGUGAGUAACACGUGGGUGAUCUGCCCUGCACUUCGGGAUAAGCCUGGGAAACUGGGUCUAAUACCGGAUAGGACCACUGCCUGCAUGGGUGGUGGUGGAAAGCUUUUGCGGUGUGGGAUGGGCCCGCGGCCUAUCAGCUUGUGGGGGGGGUGAUGGCCUACCAAGGCGACGACGGGUAGCCGGCCUGGGAGGGUGACCGGCCACGCUGGGACUGAGAUACGGCCCAGACUCCUACGGGAGGCAGCAGUGGGGAAUAUUGCACAAUGGGCGCAAGCCUGAUGAAGCGACGCCGCGUGAGGGAUGACGGCCUUCGGGUUGUAAACCUCUUUCAGCACCGACGAAGCGCAAGUGACGGUAGGUGCAGAAGAAGGACCGGCCAACUACGUGCCAGCAGCCGCCGCCG